UACGUAGGUGGCAAGCGUUGUCCGGAUUUACUGGGUGUAAAGGGCGUGCAGCCGGAGAGACAAGUCAGAUGUGAAAUCCACGGGCUCAACCCGUGAACUGCAUUUGAAACUGGUUCCCUUGAGUGUCGGAGAGGUAAUCGGAAUUCCUUGUGUAGCGGUGAAAUGCGUAGAUAUAAGGAAGAACACCAGUGGCGAAGGCGGAUUACUGGACGAUAACUGACGGUGAGGCGCGAAAGCGUGGGGAGCAAACAGG
This 253-nucleotide ribosomal RNA is filed under the name uncultured bacterium. RNAcentral describes it as "partial 16S ribosomal RNA". It matches the Rfam family "Bacterial small subunit ribosomal RNA", at positions 524 to 776 of the family's 1533-position model. The record is from RNAcentral.